This 410-nucleotide ribosomal RNA is filed under the name uncultured bacterium. Its description in RNAcentral is "bacterial SSU rRNA". It matches the Rfam family "Bacterial small subunit ribosomal RNA", at positions 28 to 421 of the family's 1533-position model. The record is from RNAcentral.
GAUGAACGCUGGCGGCGUGCUUAACACAUGCAAGUCGAGCGAAGCGGCUGAAUUGAUUCUUCGGAUGAUUUUCAGUUGACUGAGCGGCGGACGGGUGAGUAACGCGUGGGUGACCUGCCCCAUACCGGGGGAUAACAGUUGGAAACGGCUGCUAAUACCGCAUAAGCGCACGGCAUCGCAUGAUGCAGUGUGAAAAACUCCGGUGGUAUAAGAUGGACCCCGCGUUGGAUUAGCUAGUUGGUGAGGUAACGGCCCACAAAGGCGACGAUCCAUAGCCGACCUGAGAGGGUGACCGGCCACAUUGGGACUGAGACACGGCCCAAAACUCCUACGGGAGCAGCAGUGGGGAAUAUUGCACAAUGGGCGAAAGCCUGAUGCAGCGACGCCGCGUGAGCGAAGAAGUAUUUCGG